RNAcentral lists this ribosomal RNA (769 nucleotides) under uncultured bacterium. Its description in RNAcentral is "bacterial SSU rRNA". It matches the Rfam family "Bacterial small subunit ribosomal RNA", at positions 9 to 760 of the family's 1533-position model. The record is from RNAcentral.
GAGUUUGAUCCUGGCUCAGGAUGAACGCUGGCGGCGUGCCUAAUACAUGCAAGUCGAGCGAACAGACGAGGAGCUUGCUCCUCUGACGUUAGCGGCGGACGGGUGAGUAACACGUGGGUAACCUACCUAUAAGACUGGGAUAACUUCGGGAAACCGGAGCUAAUACCGGAUAAUAUUUCGAACCGCAUGGUUCGAUAGUGAAAGAUGGCCUUGCUAUCACUUAUAGAUGGACCUGCGCCGUAUUAGCUAGUUGGUAAGGUAACGGCUUACCAAGGCAACGAUACGUAGCCGACCUGAGAGGGUGAUCGGCCACACUGGAACUGAGACACGGUCCAGACUCCUACGGGAGGCAGCAGUAGGGAAUCUUCCGCAAUGGGCGAAAGCCUGACGGAGCAACGCCGCGUGAGUGAUGAAGGUCUUCGGAUCGUAAAACUCUGUUAUUAGGGAAGAACAUACGUGUAAGUAACUGUGCACGUCUUGACGGUACCUAAUCAGAAAGCCACGGCUAACUACGUGCCAGCAGCCGCGGUAAUACGUAGGUGGCAAGCGUUAUCCGGAAUUAUUGGGCGUAAAGCGCGCGUAGGCGGUUUUUUAAGUCUGAUGUGAAAGCCCACGGCUCAACCGUGGAGGGUCAUUGGAAACUGGAAAACUUGAGUGCAGAAGAGGAAAGUGGAAUUCCAUGUGUAGCGGUGAAAUGCGCAGAGAUAUGGAGGAACACCAGUGGCGAAGGCGACUUUCUGGUCUGUAACUGACGCUGAUGUGCGAAAGC